UGGUUUUUGGGUAAAACUGAUGGGUUUGGCCAUAAGAACAUCCUAUGUGCUCAUACAAACCCUAAUGCUUGGAUCUAGGUUUCUCUAUUGUACAUGCAAUUCAUCCAAGACUAUAAACCCUAGCUCUAGCAUAUGAUGAUCAAUAUAACAUAUAAAUUAGGGUUUAGAUCAUACCUUGAUUGUUAUGUAGCAAUAACAAUCUCAAAUCCUUCUUGUAUUGACUUUAGAAAGCUUAGAGUCACAAAUGUCACUCCUCUAAUGGUUCACAAACACCAAGAGCAAGAGGAUGAAGAAGAUAAGAGAAGGAGGUUGCCCAAAACGUGUGGAAACCCUAGACAACAAGUUCACCACAUUUUUGGGGCAUAAGGGUUCUUUAAAUAGUGAGGCUAUUAGGGUUAUCUAACAAGGAAACCCUAAUUUGGAUGCUUAGGCCCUAAGCAACCCAUGGACUCCUUCCUUAACAAGCCUUGGACGAUUUCUAAUGGGUUUCCCCAUAGAAUUCGUCCAACCUUAUAUUAUAAGGUAAUCCAUAGCCCAAUUGCAAUUAUCUUAUAAUUACAAUUCCAGUCCCUUAAGUUUAAUUAAUCUCUUUUAGUCACAAACUUAAUUCUUAUUAAUUCUUGACUAAUAUUAAUUAAACAAUAUGAUUUCUCCUUUAAUAUAUUAUUCUCAUAAUAUAUUAAUAAAUCAUAUUUAAUCCUUUCUCUCCAUAAUUCAUCCUAUCAAGUUGCUUUGGUGAAGGCAACCCAAAAGGACCAUGCACCAUCGGGUCAAGUACAUACCAAAAUAGUUAUGGACUUAGACACUAAUCCAACAGUCUCCCACUUGGAUAAGUCUAAUAACUAUUCUGCGUAUGACUUCAGAUCCUGAUCUGCAAUCGUAGCUUUCUAAAGCCGCUAUCAACUCUGAUCCUAUCAGAUACGUGUGUCCUUUAGAUAAGGGAUCAUAUAUUCCUCCAUUCUAGGUAUCGUAUAGACUGAGACAUGGAUCUAAAUCAUUCUCUAUGUCUAUGUGCUGUUUCCUGAAUUCAGAUUUAUGACGACUGAUAACAAACUACAAUUUUAACACGUCAAAUUAGUCCCGGCUUGGCCAAGCGCUUAGGUGCCAUCACUAAAUCAUCGAGGGGCCCACAGAUAUCGCUUUUAUCCUACUUUGGAUAAAAGGAACGGAUAAAUUUUGACGCAGUGCUCCCUUGCACUCACUCACCAAAUCACACAUAACAAUAUGUUUUAUAACACCAAGUUACUAGUGCGUUUACAUAUUAUCAAUGUGUAACCGACUCGCAAGAUACAACUCACACAUCUCGGUUUCAAGAAUAUAAGAUGUUAUCGUCUCACCAAUCACUCGUGAUAAAAUCCAUGAAGUGAUCCAAGUGAGCGUGGGUUUAAUCCAAUGCUCAAAUCAUAUUCAUAAGCACUCAUGAACGUUGCAGCAAACAUUUGCUUAUGUCUAAUACUCUUUAGACAAUCCACACACCAAUUCACGACAGUCUUCAUUCAUACCUACUUCCAACAUAUGAACGACUGUGGCCCGUUUGAAUAAUUUGACUGUUCUCAACCAAUUAAAUUAUUCAGGAAGUCAAAACAUGCAAAGUGAAACACAAGAAUAAUACUAAUCCCAUAUGGCCUCAAACCUUUGAGUAUAAAUAAAACACCUUUUAUUUAUCACCAUAUCGAUUACUCAUUAUUUGUUGUUUCGGGUAAUCAACUUCUUACUUGAAUUAUUACUACACUUGUCCCAUGCUCUUAGCAUGCACACAAUGUUUACCUAUGGUUCUUACUUUGUGAAAUAGAUCAAAUGAACACAUUUCCAAUCAUACUCAUUUCACAACUCCUAAUCCUUUUCACAAGUGAAAGAAUAUCAAAUUCUUGCCACUUAUAGAAUAUGUUAGAUUCUAACAUUUUAUGCAAUGAUCCUUUCGUAAUGUCACUGCACUAAAGUCAUAAUGACUAUUGCCAAUGAAAUUACAAAGUCCUCUAUCGGAGAUUGUUACAAGACAAUUCCAUAGAUGUGAUGUCUCUCACUCAAAGUACAUUCCUUUGAACAUCCUUUUGCAUAAAAGUUUCUAAUCUAGACAUUGAUUCUCAAUAUCCAACUCCCAAUAUGGAAACAUUUCCAUAUUUUCCAUAUGACAACUCAUUCUCAAUAGAAUCUUAUCUAUUCAUAGUAAUGUCGAUAUGGUCCAUCCAAUACUAUACUUCCAACUACUCACAAGCGACCAAUCCUCGGCGAAUGGUAAAAUAUUAUAGCAUGGUAAAAUAUUCUUAGUCAAAAUUGAUUCUUGUCCUUCUUCCCUCUGAAUGCGCUAGACAUUUGGAAAAUUUUAGAAUGGUAAAAUAUUAUAGCAUUUGCAAUCGAUCCUAUACCCGAAGCAUAUGGGACAUAAUGCAUAAUGUCUUACAUAAAGAUUCGACACUUUAUCAAUCUUCUGCCAUAAUAUUUUAUGUGCUACGUUCUCUCAAUUCGAAAUAUGAAGAGGAAUUUCGUAAUCAUAAUCGAAAUUUAAGAACACACUAUGUAACCUUUGACUAAUAUUAUUAAUAUUCCACAACCUAAGCCUUUAGAUUUGAAAUGAAGCAUAAUAUUCUCUCCCUUAAUUAUAGCAAAACAACUAUUCAACCCUUACAACUUUGCAAAGUAUGACUCUUGUUUUCUAUAAUUAAUAUUGCUAACUUGCAAUACUUGCCUUAAUAAUCAUGCAAUCAUAACAUUUAUGCUCCCACUAUCACGAUGAUUAUUACAAACAUAACACUUAUGCUCCCANAGCUCCCACUAGCUAUGACAUGUAUUCAGAAAUAGCUUAACUUUCAGAAAAACAAUGCCUAUUGAAUUUCUUUAAGUUCAUAUUUCUAAUACCCAAUGCUUUGAUAAUCUUUUAUCAAGGCUUCUUAAACUUAUACACCUUUGCCUUAGAUAGUUUAUAUGUGUCUCUUAAACAAUUUAGACUAAUUUCCAAAUCUCAUAAUUCGGAUCAUGAAAAGGGAUACCAUAACCAUAAUUAAAUUCGAGAAUACAAUUUUCACAAUACUAUCUUCUUAAAAUCUUCCUUAGUGAAAGUAUUUACUCACAGUCAUUUUCAUGAAGGAGGGAAUCUUAUGACACUUAGAUUUUAAUGGUGUAUGUGUUCCUACCCAUGUGAAUUUGUCAAAACCAAAGUUUACGACAAAUUCAAACUCAUAUGGACCGAACUUUCUUAAUCUUGAUUUCUUGCCUUAUGGUAACACAGCUGCCCACCAUGUCUUCCAAGUAGUUAAGCAGCUCACCUUUUCCUAUCAAUGUACUUUCCAUUGAUCAAGGUCCUUGCCUUUUAUGCAUUCAAAUGAGAACUCAUAGAACUCACAUGCAUAAUUAACUCAAUUGGAAUGGCACAGAAACAAAAUAAUGUCAACACGAUAGGUUGUAAACCUCAAGUCGUGUGCUAGUGAUGAUCGAUAAGGUUUAUUCUUGAUUUGUUCUUGAAACCUUUCAAGACCAUUAAGACUCCCACUAACUCCUUGACAUAUAAGAUUCUCUUGUCAAUAAACAUUUCUCGACAAACAAAUAUUCAAGAGUUAGUGUAGCUUUUAUCAAGACAAAACACUUCACAAAAUUGGUCCUAGUUGGUCUUUGUCUUAUCCAAGACAUCACAACUUUCCACAUUUGAUGAAUGUUAUAAACCUUCUUAAGACUUGUCACUCAAUGUCACAAUCUUAAGUCUAAGACUUGUUUUUGGAACGAAGUAUGAUUGACCUCUUGAUUUAACCAUUUCAUCAAUUCUUGAUUCCUCUUCUCAGACAUACAAUUGUAUUAAGACUCACUUAGAGCAUCAAUUGAGAUAUGGUUGUUAAUCAUUAAGACCUAUCAUAAAACAUAAUAAAUGUACUCUCCCUUCUUCUUAGAAUGGAGAAACUUUUAUCUUUCCGCCUACUUGAUUCUUCUUAUUCGUUCUGCUAUUGAUUUAAAGUCUUUCAAUCAAUUCAGAAUUCACUUAAUCUUAUCAGUAUAAUCAUAUUUACUAAACCUUUAGUAAAUUAUGACGAAUAUCUUUCUUACUCUUGUGGUGGACUUGAUCAACACACAACUUUGUGUACUCAAUCUCCUAGUCCUUCACUUGACACUUUGUCAACGACUUAGUCUAAUUUCCAAAUAUGAAAUUUCUCAUUCAUCAUGCAACCAAGUUGCAUGAUUCCAAGUUUCUGUCCAAUUGAAACUUGGGUGAUGAGAGACUCUCCCUAUUUGGUAAAUUCUCGACAUUUCCACAUAAUUAAGAAUCAAAUCCAUUAUUGCUAAUAAUAGACACAUUCAAAACAUCAAUUUUUCAUACACGCCAUCGCAAGGAUAAAUAAAUAAUAUAAAAUCAAAAUUUUAUUUUAUUGCGGAAAAAUUUGUCCUUACAAUGCAAUUCUUUGAAAAACUAUGCUAAUACAUAUUUCUUAGCAAUCUUAUUCUAACUCCAAGUAGUGGCUCAAGAAUCUAAUCUUCAAGUAAUGCGAUCGAAAUCCAUUUCUUCACGAUUAGAUUCCGCUCACUUCUUCCCUUAAGUUUCCUCUCUUUUCUUCGAUUCUACAAAACAUCAAAAUGUAAUCUUAUCACAUCAUAUAUUAAGAAUCUAGAAUAGGAACUUAAAAGAGUUAGUUAAUAGAAUUUACAUAAAUCAGAGCCAUACGUUUUAACUCUCCAAUCUCUUAGAUCUCUUAGGUAAAUAGGGCAGCUUCGUCUCCAAUGCCCCUUCUCUUAGCAAUAAAAGCAAAUUGACUCUUUUGGAAUACCAUAUGGAACUACUUCAGACUUUGCCUUUCUCUUAUGAUCAAACUUUUCAAUCAUGGCAUGCCUUUCGUUUCCAUUGCCUAUAUCCAUGGAAGUCUAGAAGGCAGAUUCACCAAUCAACUUUGCUUUUCCAGUGCGCCAAAUCAUUGCUGAUUCAACAACAAUAAGCAUGUAGGUGAGAUCUAUAAGGGUCACGUUGUGGUUCAUCAUAUAGUACUCUCUAACGAAAUCACUAUAUGAUUCAGGAAGCGAUUAAAGAACCCAAUCAACAACCAACUUACCUGAAAUCUCGACACCCAACAUCCUAAACCUUUCAAUGUGUGACUUCAUCCCUAAGACGUGUACACACACAGGUUUCCCAUGUUUACUUGCCAAAAGGGCUUGAAUGAGCUUGAACUUUCAAGCCUUCGAAAUUGUGGGUUAGGGAGAAUAAUUGGAGGAGGUGGAGGAAGUGAAGCAUGAUCUCUUGUUCCUCGAUCGAAUCGUAGAAUAUCAUCUUCAUAUGGAAAGCUUGUUCCAUGGGAUUUAGGAAUACCAUAGUUGUCGUACUUUGACAUCUACAAAACAGGAGAAACUAAAUUCAAGUUAGUUGAUUGAUUAAGUCCUUAAUAAAUCACCCAAAUGAGAUAUUAAGGCUAGGACCCAACACAAUACGCUACAACCUAGAAAAGGGAUGCCAUAAUCUACUUGCAGAAUAUUUGAAGGUAGGUAAAUGACGAUUUACCAAUUUCCACCAUGAAAAACGAAAAAGAAAUUUAGGUUUUAAAUCUAUGAAAAAUCCUAGAUCCUUUGAGAUUCAUUGAACUUUUCAAUGGCAUGUUUAAAUCUCGAUAUGCCCCUCUAGUUUGUGACUGGGAUACCGAGGAUCACAAAGCGGGAGUGAAUAACCAUGCAAACUUACAUGGUGCCCCCACAUGUUACAGUCACCUCUUUGAUGUGCCGGUUAACCACACACGCUCCACCGAGCUAUGACAAACAUUGAGUCACCCUUUGCUACCUUUGCUUAGAACCAUUUAGUGCGCCGGUUAACCACACACGCUCCACUAACGUCUUCGUAAGGGCACAAAGUGUAACUUCAUGGAGUUGCAUCAAUUCACUUUUGCCUUAAGUAACUAACAUUGGGAAUUUUGUAAAACUUUUAGUUACUUUAUACUUUAUUAUACUUUUAAUGGAAAGGGUUUUCCCUAUCCUACCCGUUCAGCUAACGACCCUCCACCAAUCAAGGAAGCAAUGGGUGAGAGUGGACACCCAUUAAACGGCCAUUUUAUAGGCCAUAACCUUAUACCCCCCUUAUAGAUCGGCUUCGUGAAUGAGGCCUACUAACAGUAAGACUAGCAUUUAAGUUAUACAUAUAUAAUAUUAAACGGUUAAUGUUAUACAUAGUAUAUGGGUGUAUUUUACACUUUUAAAAUACUAGGUGGUUUAAAUUAUACUUUUAAUUAACCAAAAUCAUUAUGGAUUUAUUAACUCUCUUUUAAUUAUACACUUAAUUAACUUUAUAAAACCAUAAAGGUUUAAUUUGAACUUUUCAAAAUUAGGGUUUUGGAAUUUAGACUUUAAAAAUUAACUUUUAAUCAACAAUUUAAAUUCCAAAACUUGAGGGCAAGUUUUGAAACUUUUCAAACCAAUUAGGUUUUAAUCUCACUUAAAAUUUUCGAAUUUAAGACAUUUAAAUUAAAAUUUUAAAUAUUAAAACUCUUGAUUUAAUAAUUACCAUAAAUUAAACAAUUAAUUUAAAAUAAUAAAUCACAAGGGAUUAUCUAGAUCAUGAGGAUAAUUACCAUUUAUACAUUUAAGAUAUCCUAAUCCCUUGAAUCCCUCUCUAAGUCUCGAAAAUGAGGGAUGGGAUAAUUCAAGAUCUUUAAUUACCAUAUUUAACAAUUAAAAGGUAAUUACAAGAUAUGGGAUUAUCCAAAUCCCUAAAAUUUAGGAUCUUAUCUUGGGGAAGGAGGCUAAUCUCGAAAUCUAAGGGUUUGCAAACCCUAGAUUUCGAAAUCUUGGACUAAUGGAAAGGAUUCAUAAAACCUUUUCAUGAUAUUUUCGCAAAUUAGGGUUAGGAAACCCUAAUCUCGAAAUCUAUAGCCUCCUAGGGUUUAUUGGCUAUAAACCCUAAUUUGUCAAGUUCAUACAAUUGAAUAAACUAAUUGGACACAAGUUAACCAAUGGCUCCGAUACCACUUAUUGGUUUUAUACAAACAAUCUUAUGUGUACAUGCAACCCUAGAGUUGGAUCUAUGUUUUCACUAUUAGUUAUACAACUUUAUGAACACAAAAAGAAACCUGGCAUGCUACUAUAAUUUUCGAAAUUCAUAUAUAAAGCUAGAAUACAUACCUUUUGUUGUUAUAUAGCAAUAACAACUAGUUCCUUGAAUUUCCUUAGCUCUUGAAAGCANUCAAAUCCUUCUGCUAUUGACUUUAGAAAGCUUAGAGUCACAAAUGUCACUCCUCUAAUGGUUCACAAACACCAAGAGCAAGAGGAUGAAGAAGAGAAGAGAAGGAGGUUGCCGAAAACGUAUGGAAACCCUAGACAACAAGUUCACCACGUUUUGGGGCAUAAGGGUUCUUUAAAUAGUGAGGCUAUUAGGGUUAUCUAACAAGGAAACCUAAUUUGGAUGCUUAAGCCCUAAGCAACCCAUGGACUCCUUCCUUAACAAGCCUUGGACGAUUUCUAAUGGGCUUCCCCAUAGAAUUCGUCCAACCUUAUAUUAUAAGGUAAUCCAUAGCCCAAUUGCAAUUAUCUUAUAAUUACAACUCCAUUCCCUUAAUUUUAACUAAUCUCUUUUAGUCACAAACUUAAUUCUUAUUAAUUCUUGAUUAAUAUUAAUUAAACAAUAUGAUUUCUCCUUUAAUAUAUUAUUCUCAUAAUAUAUUAAUAAAUCAUAUUUAAUCCUUUCUCUCCAUAAUUCAUCCUAU
This 7658-nucleotide long non-coding RNA is filed under the name Lactuca sativa (garden lettuce). Its description in RNAcentral is "long non-coding RNA (LSAT_LNC000458)". Lineage: Eukaryota; Viridiplantae; Streptophyta; Magnoliopsida; Asterales; Asteraceae. The record is from RNAcentral.